GACGAACGCUGGCGGCGUGCCUAAUACAUGCCAGUAGAACGCACAGUUUAUACCGUAGCUUGCUACACCAUAGACUGUGAGUUGCGAACGGGUGAGUAGCGCGUAGGUAACCUGCCUGGUAGCGGGGGAUAACUAUUGGAAACGAUAGCUAAUACCGCAUAAUAUUAAUUAUUGCAUGAUAAUUAAUUGAAAGGUGCAAUUGCACCACUACCAGAUGGACCUGCGUUGUAUUAGCUAGUAGGUGAGGUAACGGCUCACCUAGGCGACGAUACAUAGCCGACCUGAGAGGGUGAUCGGCCACACUGGGACUGAGACACGGCCCAGACUCCUACGGGAGGCAGCAGUAGGGAAUCUUCGGCAAUGGACGAAAGUCUGACCGAGCAACGCCGCGUGAGUGAAGAAGGGUUUCGGAUCGUAAAGCUCUGUUGUAAGAGAAGAACGGGUGUGAGAGUGGAAAGUUCACACUGUGACGGUAUCUUACCAGAAAGGGACGGCUAACUACGUG
This 505-nucleotide ribosomal RNA is filed under the name uncultured bacterium. RNAcentral describes it as "partial 16S ribosomal RNA". It matches the Rfam family "Bacterial small subunit ribosomal RNA", at positions 28 to 507 of the family's 1533-position model. The record is from RNAcentral.